Molecule: long non-coding RNA, 1551 nt
Filed under: Linum usitatissimum (flax)
Lineage: Eukaryota; Viridiplantae; Streptophyta; Magnoliopsida; Malpighiales; Linaceae
Description: long non-coding RNA (LUSI_LNC007770)
Source: RNAcentral
ACAUUAAGAGUUGUUGUGAAUUAGCUGACAUUGUAUAACAUAAUUAUAAUUUUACAAAAUAAAAUAUUUAAUUGACUUUUUAAACUCAAUACAAAACAAAAUUAAAAAAACAAAGUUCAUCUUAUUCGUCUCCCAUCACCAUCCUAUCUUCUUAUCAUUUCCAAACAUCCAUUGUUAAACCCAACAACUGCUUUUCCCAAAUCCAUCUUUCACCAAACCCAAAAUCCUAUUCAUAUGUACACAUGAUCAAAUCUGCAUGUUUUAGAUCAGAUAUGUGUUGGUUUUUUAGAUUUAUCGAUGUCGAAGGGUGAAAUGAUUGACAAAGGGAAAGGGGACUCUGGUACCCAAAUUUGCUACUAGAAAAUAAUCCAUCUUUUCUCGAUUUGCAAUUCGUACCACUCCUUGAAUACGUCGACGAUCGACGGACAAAAACGGUAGUGGGUCCAGCUCAAGAGGAGAGAGCGACGAGGGAUCGAAGGAGCGAUCUGCCGGCGACGAUAGAGAGAUGUGGAAGCUGUAUAAAAAUCGGAUUCAUGAAGGAAUCAAGAAGGAGUGUGAUCAUCUGAUGCCAUGUUUAAUGCAAGAAUAAUCAAAAUUGAUUUGAGAGAGUAAGGAAAAGUGAGACGACCCAUUGGUGUUAAGUUUGACCGUUAAAUUAACGGUCAAAUUUGAAUUUUUGCCACAAUAUAUAUUUUCAAUAGAUUGUGCCAUUCUGGGUUAAGACCAAAUAGGUUGGGCCUCCAUAUAUCAUUAUUCCAUUAAAUAACACAAUUUUUUUUUCAUAUAUUAUAACAAAUGUUAGAAACCACGUAAAUUCAUACGAACGUAUUACGUUCGUAUUGAUACAUUUGUAUUGUCCAUUGAUACGUUCGUAUUGAUAUGUAAUACGUUCGUAUUGACUCGUAAUAAAAAAUUCUCGUUAAUACUUUUGUUAUUUCAUCUUAAUACGUUUGUUGUCGUUACGUUCGUAUUCCGGUAAUACGAAUGUAAUGACAAUUAAGAUAACAUACAUUUGUUAUAUCGUGAUAAUGCAUUCCCGUUAAUACGUUCAUUGUCAUUACAUUUGUUACUUCGUCUUACUACGUGCGUUGUCAUUACGUUUGUAUCACCGGAAUACGAACGUACUGACAACAAAGAUAACAUACGUUUGUUAUGUUGUCUUAAUACAUUCCCGUUAAUACGUUCAUUGUCAUUAUAUUUGCUCUUUAGUCUUAAUACAGUUGUUGUUAUUACUUUUGUAUUACCGAAAUAGGAACGUAUUAAGAAAAAAUUCAAACUCAUUACGUUCGUAUUAUCACAUCAUAAUCGGAAAACUCAGAAAAACACAAAGAAUCCAACCUAUUGUUUUGGGGUGGUUGUGUUCACGCUCCGAACUUCUUUCGUGUGAAGAUCCAACUAGUUAUGUAGUGUCUAAACCAAAAAUAUGAAAGAACACAAAGAAUAUGAUGAAGAACACAAGAACAAGAUGACUAACACGAAGAACAUAAAAUCAGAAAUCAAACCUAUUAUUUUUGAAGGGUUGUGUUGUACUUCUCAUGUCUUUUUUAGCAA